This is a long non-coding RNA of Lolium perenne, 1196 nucleotides long. RefSeq lists it as uncharacterized. NCBI's taxonomy places the organism in Eukaryota, Viridiplantae, Streptophyta, Magnoliopsida, Poales, Poaceae. The record is from RefSeq and is a predicted model, not a curated record.
GCCAGCGGUCGGUGAUGGUGGACUCCUACAUCGUCUGGGACCCCAUCACCGAUGGCCGGUGGGGAGUUCCAUUCCCAAGAAUGGGUCGCCAUUCGUGUAGUGGCGCAGUGCUCUGUGCUAAGCAACACUGCGACCACCUGGAAUGUCAUGGACCGCCCUUCCUCGAAGCCAUGGUGGGUUCCUGCGAUGGGACCACGUCCGCCUGCGUAUACUCAUCGGAGUCUGGUGUGUGGAGCGGCAUCAUCACCCUGAAGCAGGAGGAUUACAUAGACUGGUCCGGGCGCAGCAUCCUUGUGGGAAACACGCUCUACUUUCCCUUUCGAGACAGUUUCAGAGUUCUGCAGUACAAGCUGGGCGAGCAGAAACUAUCUGUCAUCGAUGCGCCAUCGCAGCUCGGGAAGGAGCGCCUUGUGUUGGUAUCGGUGGAAGACGGCGUGUGUGUGUUUGCCGGCUUGCGAGAGACUAGGCUCUCUCUCUCUGGUCAGCCGAGGUAGCUUAUCCCGAUGGAGCUCUGGCUUGGGUGGAACGCAGGAUCAUUGAGCUCGAGAACCUGCUCCCCCCAGAGGCCAUCGAACCGUUUUCUCACUGGCUUUUUGGAUGGUAUGGACCUGAACUCAGUGUGUCUGGAUUCGCAGAAGGCAUCGUCUUCUUGAGUACAAUGGCUGGGUUUUUUACGGUUGAGCUCAAUUCGGGCCGAACCAAGAAGGUUAGCGAGUUGAAAAUGGCUGCUCAUGUCACUCCUUGGACAAGCUUCUACACUCAAGAUCAUGCUAGGCGUGACAUGGGUCAUAUCCAUCCAUCAGCAUGAAGAACCGGAACCGCUGCCAUUUUGCAUGAGGAAGUCUGGAGCUGCAUGAGUACUGACCAAGUUUCUGUGGAGAAAUGUGAGCCUUAAUCUGAAGUACGGAGAUUUUGAUUUGGCUUCAGAGGAACCGUAGCUUUCUAGUACUUCCUCCGAUCCAUAUUAUUACUUGAUGCUAAAAUGGAUGUAUCUACAACUAGAAUGUGUCUAGAUACAUCUAUAUUAGCAUCGAGUAGUAUGAAUCGGAGGGAGUAAAUUAAUUUGUUGGCUUAAGAGGAACAGCUGUUUUCUACUUAUUUAAUCCAUUGAGACCAUAUAAGUCUGUUACUCUGUUAUGGCACAUGACUAAAUGUUUGCUGUGACUGAGCCUUGUUAAUUUUUGUUGCGACAACUG